AGUCGAGGGGUAACAGGGAGUGCUUGCACUCUGCUGACGACCGGCGCACGGGUGCGUAACGCGUAUGCAACCUACCUUCUACAGGGGGAUAGCCCAGAGAAAUUUGGAAUAAUACCCCAUACGAUCUUUACUUGGCACCGAGUAGAGAAGAAAACUUUUUGUGGUAGAAGAUGGGCAUGCGUCCUAUUAGUUAGUUGGUGAGGUAACGGCUCACCAAGACUUCGAUAGGUAGGGGCCCUGAGAGGGGGAUCCCCCACACUGGUACUGAGGCACGGACCAGACUCCUACGGGAGGCAGCAGUGAGGAAUAUUGGACAAUGGGGGCAACCCUGAUCCAGCCAUGCCGCGUGCAGGAAGACUGCCCUAUGGGUUGUAAACUGCUUUUAUACAGGAAGAAACUGUGCUACGUGUAGUGCACUGACGGUACUGUAAGAAUAAGGAUCGGCUAACUCCGUGCCAGCAGCCGCGGUAAUACGGAGGAUCCAAGCGUUAUCCGGAAUCAUUGGGUUUAAAGGGUCCGUAGGUGGUCCAUUAAGUCAGAGGUGAAAGCCUAUCGCUCAACGAUAGAACUGCCUUUGAUACUGAUGGACUUGAGUUAUUGUGAAGUAGUUAGAAUAUGUAGUGUAGCGGUGAAAUGCAUAGAUAUUACAUAGAAUACCGAUUGCGAAGGCAGAUUACUAACAAUAUACUGACACUGAGGGACGAAAGCGUGGGUAGCGAACAGGAUUAGAUACCCUGGUAGUCCACGCCGUANACGAUGGUCACUAGCUGUUUGACUAACAUUGGUUAGUUGAGUGGCUAAGCGAAAGUGAUAAGUGACCCACCUGGGGAGUACGCUCGCAAGA
This 844-nucleotide ribosomal RNA is filed under the name uncultured Bacteroidota bacterium. Its description in RNAcentral is "bacterial SSU rRNA". It matches the Rfam family "Bacterial small subunit ribosomal RNA", at positions 60 to 893 of the family's 1533-position model. Lineage: Bacteria; Pseudomonadati; Bacteroidota. The record is from RNAcentral.